AGCAGUCGCCGCGGUAAUGCGGAGGGGGCUAGCGUUGUUCGGAAUUACUGGGCGUAAAGCGCACGUAGGCGGCUUGGUAAGUUAGAGGUGAAAGCCUGGAGCUCAACUCCAGAAUUGCCUUUAAGACUGCCGAGCUAGCAGGUGAGAGAGGUAAGUGGAAUUCCGAGUGUAGAGGUGAAAUUCGUAGAUAUUCGGAAGAACACCAGUGGCGAAGGCGGCUUACUGGCUCAUACUGGACGCUGAGGUGCGAAAGCGUGGGGAGCAAACAGGAUUAGAUACCCGCGUAGUCCCUGUCUCUUAUAC
Molecule: ribosomal RNA, 303 nt
Filed under: uncultured bacterium
Lineage: Bacteria
Description: partial 16S ribosomal RNA
Rfam family: Bacterial small subunit ribosomal RNA
Source: RNAcentral